Molecule: long non-coding RNA, 605 nt
Filed under: Ananas comosus (pineapple)
Lineage: Eukaryota; Viridiplantae; Streptophyta; Magnoliopsida; Poales; Bromeliaceae
Description: long non-coding RNA (ACOM_LNC023603)
Source: RNAcentral
AGAGGGCGGAGGUGGGACCGGCGGAACAGGCUGAGCACGUGGGGCUUAGACAGGCGGACAAGGGUGAACAGGUGGAGGUGAAGGUCGGGCAGGCGAAAUAGGGUGAACGGGUGGAAUAGGGUGAACAGGUGGUGGUAGGACAGGUGGAAUAGGGUGAACAGGUGGAGGUGGGACAGGUGGAGCAGAUUGAGAGUGGCAAGGUGAAGACCCAGGAAGAAGAUGAAGAUAGGGCAGGGGUGGAUGUCGCCUUGGACGAAUCAUGAUCUUUUAAUUGAAAAGUGAGGGUUCUGAAAGCACAAUUUUAAAAUUGUGGAUUUGUUAAAGAGAAGCAAGAAAAGCAAGAUAUUGAAAAUUAAGAAGAUUGAUACCUGCAGUUCUUUUCUCACCUAUNAGCACAAUUUUAAAAUUGUGGAUUUGUUAAAGAGAAGCAAGAAAAGCAAGAUAUUGAAAAUUAAGAAGAUUGAUACCUGCAGUUCUUUUCUCACCUAUAGAUAGUAAUGAUCAGAAUUUGCUAAUAUAUAAAAUGCAUAUGAAAGAGAGGAGAAAGAGAGAAAAAAAAAUAUAAAAAAUAAUUAUAAGCAUCAUCUAUGAACAAUUUUUAUAUA